RNAcentral lists this transfer RNA (77 nucleotides) under Candidatus Magasanikbacteria bacterium CG11_big_fil_rev_8_21_14_0_20_39_34. RNAcentral's name for it is "tRNA-Val". It matches the Rfam family "tRNA". From Rfam's summary of the family: Transfer RNA (tRNA) molecules are approximately 80 nucleotides in length. Their secondary structure includes four short double-helical elements and three loops (D, anti-codon, and T loops). Lineage: Bacteria; Candidatus Magasanikiibacteriota. The record is from RNAcentral.
GGGUUUAUAGCUCAGUUGGUUAGAGCGCUACAUUGACAUUGUAGAGGUCAGAGGUUCGAAUCCUCUUAAACCCACGA